AGUCAAGUGAUUAAGCGUACACGGUGGAUGCCUUGGCAGCCAGAGGCGAUGAAGGACGUUGUAGCUUGCGAUAAGCUUCGGGGAGGUAGCAAACAACCUUUGAUCCGGAGAUUUCCGAAUGGGGAAACCC
Molecule: ribosomal RNA, 130 nt
Filed under: uncultured Marinobacter sp.
Lineage: Bacteria; Pseudomonadati; Pseudomonadota; Gammaproteobacteria; Pseudomonadales; Marinobacteraceae
Description: partial 23S ribosomal RNA
Rfam family: Bacterial large subunit ribosomal RNA
Source: RNAcentral